UUGACAAAUCUAAUCCAAUUAGCAAUCAUAAUUGCUUUGUUUUGGAUGACAUUGCUUUAACCAAAUAGAUUUUUCAAAAUACAAUACAAUACAAUGGUCUAAUAGGAAGAGGUGAAAGUUUGACUCCAUAAUAAAGAAAUCAAUAAAAGUACAUUGCUAUUUCUUAUAUAUCAUGACAAGUACAAACACAUUCUUGAAACAAAAACCCUUAAUAGUUAUUCUUGAAAGUAGUUUACAAGUUGUAUCAAGGAGAGUGGUAACUUAUGAACUGGAAACAGAGCACGCAAAAAGGCAUAAAAACAUGCCCAAUUAAUGAACUGGAGAUACAAUCUCCGAUGAACUAGAUUUGAAAUUACAGCCCUUCUAUGGUAAGAUUGUCUUCUUAUUGAACUUUUGUUGCAAUUUCUUUAAAGCCUUCAUCUGUCAAUACACAUAAAAAUGAAGGCAAAUGUUAGCUUUGAGGAAAAAGAAACUAAACUACAAACAGUCACAUUCUAAUAUAUUGAACACAAAUCUUCAAUGUUCAAUUGCCCUCAUUUCAAGAAAGUAAGAGACUAUGUGGUUUUAGAUCUCGAUGGACAAUUCCAUCCAUGAACUGAUUUCACAUAAACUAUCUAUUGAACACAAAUGUUGAUUUUGAUUUUUGAAAACUGAUUUCACAUAAAAUUGAGCAUAAAAUCAAAUAUUGAUUUUGAUUGAACAAAUCAAAAACAGAUAGCAUAACAUCAAGACCUGAUUUGGAUUUUUGAUUUUCAAGUUUGGAGGGAAAGAAGGAAGAAACAGAAGAAGAGCAACGAAUUCGAUUUUAAAAGAAGAAGAGAAACAAACCUAUUGCGUCGGCGGAAGAACGAGUUGGAGACGGAAGAACUUGCGCCGGCGCCGGCGGCGUUGCUGGGUACAGCGUCGUCGACGUUUUGGGUAGGCGGGCGUCGUUUCAGUAGCCUCGUCGGAAGGUGUAGAGAAACAGACGCGAAGCAAGCAAACACGAAGUGAAGAAAAGAAGAGGAGGCGGUCGAUCUUUGUUUAGGGCAAAUAAGGAACGCGUCUCUUUUUUUU
This 1056-nucleotide long non-coding RNA is filed under the name Lactuca sativa (garden lettuce). RNAcentral's name for it is "long non-coding RNA (LSAT_LNC002326)". Lineage: Eukaryota; Viridiplantae; Streptophyta; Magnoliopsida; Asterales; Asteraceae. The record is from RNAcentral.